Molecule: non-coding RNA, 128 nt
Organism: Pelobates cultripes (western spadefoot toad)
Lineage: Eukaryota; Metazoa; Chordata; Amphibia; Anura; Pelobatidae
Source: the annotation of a GenBank genome assembly
UAAUAAAUACAUAAGUUAUCACCUUUUGGCAGUUAAGAGGAGUUUUCCACCUGAAUGUCAAGCAGGUAGAUAUCUAUAUUUUAUAACUCCUCUUAACUGCCAAAAGGUGAUAACUUAUUUAUUUAUUA